UACGGAAGGCAGCAGUGGGGAAUAUUGCACAAUGGGCGAAAGCCUGAUGCAGCUAUGCCGCGUGUAUGAAGAAGGCCUUAGGGUUGUAAAGUACUUUCAUCGGGGAGGAAAAAACAAAACUAAUAAUUUUAUUUCUUGACGUUACCCGAAAAAGAAGCACCGGCUAACUCCGUGCCAGCAGCCGCGGUAAUACGGAGGGUGCUAGCGUUAAUCAGAAUUACUGGGCGUAAAGAGCACGUAGGUGGUUUUUUUAAAGUCAGAUGUGAAAUCCCUGGGCUUAACCUAGGAACUGCAUUUUGAAACUGAAAUACUAGAGUAUCGUAGAGGGAGGUAGAAUUCUAGGUGUAGCGGUGAAAUGCGUAGAUAUCUGGAGGAAUACCUGUGGCGAAAGCGGCCUCCUAAACGAAUACUGACACUGAGGUGCGAAAGCGUGGGGAGCAAACGAGGAUUAGACUACC
This 458-nucleotide ribosomal RNA is filed under the name uncultured bacterium. Its description in RNAcentral is "bacterial SSU rRNA". It matches the Rfam family "Bacterial small subunit ribosomal RNA", at positions 340 to 787 of the family's 1533-position model. The record is from RNAcentral.